GGCAGCUUCUCCAUCAAUUCCCCAACCUUGGUGUCGACGUGGCGAAUAUGGCGAUGGACCCAAGUUUUGCCGAGGAAGAAGAGGCGAUGAAAGAAGGAGAAGAUCCUGUUGCAGGAGUUGCUCCUGAUGUAUAAUUUAUUUUUUUUUUGGCCAUCGCUUUGGCGAGGCUCAAACAAAUGUAAUCAGUUCUUAGUUAUGAAUGAAAUCAUCCAUUGACGUAUUGUUUUGGCGAGGUUAUAUAGUUCUGUUUAUUUUUGUAAAGUAAAUUCAAUUCUCUCAUCCGUCUAGGGUGAACGGCUUGUGAGGCGAUACGUCCAGUGGCGAUCAAAUUACCAUUGUUAACGGAGUGGCGAAUCUCGAUUUUGGCGACAUUUGUUAUGGCAAUCAGGGCGCCUUAUCGUUAGGCAACGAAUGAGCGUAUCCUGAUUUUGGCGACAUAAAUAACGAUGAUCAAGAC
RNAcentral lists this long non-coding RNA (457 nucleotides) under Actinidia chinensis (golden kiwifruit). RNAcentral describes it as "long non-coding RNA (ACHI_LNC002684)". Lineage: Eukaryota; Viridiplantae; Streptophyta; Magnoliopsida; Ericales; Actinidiaceae. The record is from RNAcentral.